GGACUACUGGGGUUUCUAAUCCUGUUCGCUCCCCACGCUUUCGCUCCUCAGUGUCAGGUCAGGCCCAGAGAACCGCCUUCGCCACCGGUGUUCCUCCCGAUAUCUGCGCAUUUCACCGCUACACCGGGAAUUCCAUUCUCCCCUACCUGCCUCUAGUCUGCCCGUAUCCACUGCAGGCCCGAGGUUAAGCCUCGGGUUUUCACAGCAGACGUGGCAGACCACCUACGAGCUCUUUACGCCCAAUAAUUCCGGACAACGCUUGCGCCCUACGUGUUACCGCGGCUGCUGGCAC
RNAcentral lists this ribosomal RNA (292 nucleotides) under uncultured bacterium. RNAcentral describes it as "partial 16S ribosomal RNA". The record is from RNAcentral.